UUGCACAAUUCUGUGAAUAUAUUAAAAAACACUGAUUUUUUUUUUACUUCAGAAAUGAUCCUAAAGUACAUUAGAGAGAAUAAAGCUUAAAGAAUACCUGAGAAAUUGUUAGGAAAAAUGAUAAGGAACACCCUACCAUUAGAUACUUAAAUGUUUAAUAAGACAGAAUAAUUAAAAUUGUGAUGCUAUUUCAAAAACAGACUCAGUAAUGGAACAGAAUAUAAAGUCCAGAAACAAAUUCCAAUACAUAAUAUGUACAUAUUCAUUAAUGAUGAAUGUGGCAUUUCACAUAAUUAGAGAAAGGAUUCCUUGUUCAAUUUGUGAUGCUGGUAAAAUUGAUUGACUUUUUAGAAAAUAGAAAGUUAGGGUUUUUUUUUUUUUAAUCUAAAAUACCAAAUUGAACUUUAAAUGGAAUAAAAACCUAUAUGAAGAAAAAAGAGACUCACAUUAUGCCAAGUGAAAUAAGCCAAGCGCAGAAGGAUGAAUAUUGCAUGGUGUCACUCAUAGGUGGACUCUAAACAAGUUGAACUCAUGGAAGUAGAGAGUAGAAUGGUGAUUGCAGGAGUAGGGUUAUGGUAGGGAAUAGGGAGUUGCUGGUUAAAGGGUACAAAGUUUCAGUUAGGAUGAGUAAGUUCUGGAGGUCUAAUGGUAGAACAUGGUAAUUACUGUUAAUAAUGUAUACCUAAAGAUUUCUAAGAGCGUUAUCUUAAAUGUUCUUAUCACAAAAAAUAAAAUAACCUAUGUGAGGUGAUGGAUAUGUUAAUUUACUUGAUUGUGGUAAUCAUUUCACAGUGUAUACAUAAAAACAAUAUGCCGUACAUCAUAUAUAUAUGUGUGUGUGUAUAUAUAUAUGUACGUAUAUGUGUGUAUAUACACAAUUUUAAUUUGUCAUUUACACUUCAAUAGACCUGAGGGAGAAAAGAAAAAAAAGAAUUUUACUUGACUCCAAAUCUUUAAAAAAAA
This is a long non-coding RNA of Mandrillus leucophaeus (drill), 963 nucleotides long. RefSeq lists it as uncharacterized. The record is from RefSeq and is a predicted model, not a curated record. The transcript has 2 exons. Lineage: Eukaryota; Metazoa; Chordata; Mammalia; Primates; Cercopithecidae.